GACGAACGCUGGCGGCGUGCUUAACACAUGCAAGUCGAACGGAAAGGCCCUGCUUUUGUGGGGUGCUCGAGUGGCGAACGGGUGAGUAACACGUGAGUAACCUGCCCUUGACUUUGGGAUAACUUCAGGAAACUGGGGCUAAUACCGGAUAGGAGCUCCUGCUGCAUGGUGGUGGUUGGAAAGUUUCGGCGGUUGGGGAUGUACUCGCGGCUUAUCAGCUUGUUGGUGGGGUAGUGGCUUACCAAGGAUUUGACGGGUAGCCGGCCUGAGAGGGUGACCGGCCACAUUGGGACGGAGAUACGGCCCAGACUCCUACGGGAGGCAGCAGUGGGGAAUAUUGCAAAAUGGGCGGAAGCCUGAUGCAGCAACGCGGCGUGCGGGAUGACGGCCUUCGGGUUGUAAACCGAUUUCGCCUGUGAAGAAGAGUGAGUGACGGUAAUGGGUAAAGAAGCACCGGCUAACUACGUG
RNAcentral lists this ribosomal RNA (468 nucleotides) under uncultured bacterium. RNAcentral's name for it is "partial 16S ribosomal RNA". It matches the Rfam family "Bacterial small subunit ribosomal RNA", at positions 28 to 507 of the family's 1533-position model. The record is from RNAcentral.